RNAcentral lists this long non-coding RNA (422 nucleotides) under Manihot esculenta (cassava). Its description in RNAcentral is "long non-coding RNA (MESC_LNC009475)". Lineage: Eukaryota; Viridiplantae; Streptophyta; Magnoliopsida; Malpighiales; Euphorbiaceae. The record is from RNAcentral.
UGUAUUUAUAUAAUUUCAGUUAUUAUUAUUAUUAUUAUUUUAUUAUGCGUCUACCCGUCUAAGGAGCGGAGGGCAAAAGCAAACCUGGACCAUCGGGUCUUUUCUCGUCUACCGAUCAAAAACAGAAAAUUAUUCACUGUAAAAAGGUAUUUGAGAGAGAGCUGCACCUCACGGAAGCCAAGAGUACGAAUGAUUUUUCGUUUCGCCCUCUAAGCCUACGAAUGAUUGUUAGAGUCAAUUCGCCCUCUAAGUCCACAUUGAAACACAAAAAAUAAUGAUGCAUGCCAUUCCAUGCACAUGUGUAAAUUACAUCAUCUAAAAUGAAAAAGGGAAAAAUUUCACGACUUUAUGUGGAGGAAAGGAGUCAUCCCCACCCAGCUAGCUGGACAGGAAACGACCGAAUUAGUUUGCCUGAAUGUAUA